GACAGAGGGUGCAAACGUUGUUCGGAAUUACUGGGCGUAAAGCGCGUGUAGGCGGCUAAGCAAGUCGGGCGUGAAAUCCCACCGCUCAACGGUGGAAGUGCACCCGAAACUGCAUAGCUAGAGUCCUGGAGAGGAAGGUGGAAUGCUUGGUGUAGAGGUGAAAUUCGUAGAUAUCAAGCGGAACACCGGUGGCGAAGGCGGCCUUCUGGACAGUGACUGACGCUGAGACGCGAAAGCGUGGGGAGCAAACAGG
RNAcentral lists this ribosomal RNA (253 nucleotides) under uncultured bacterium. RNAcentral's name for it is "partial 16S ribosomal RNA". It matches the Rfam family "Bacterial small subunit ribosomal RNA", at positions 524 to 776 of the family's 1533-position model. The record is from RNAcentral.